CUCAAUACGCAGUUUUUUGCUAGUGUUACGUCUUCAGGCAACGACCAAUUGACAACAAGUAGUGCAAUUGCCCCAAUUCCUGUGCUGUCAUCAUCGUCAUCCAUGGGUUCACCACUGUUUUGGAUUGGAGUUGGAGUUGGUCUGUCAGUCAUUUUUCAAGUGGUUGCAAAUAGAUUAAAGGUGAGUCCCUUUGCAGCUUGUACCCUUUUACACUGUCCAGGUCUCUUUUGGAAAUAACAAGAUGAUCUUCCUAUCCUUAGAAAGGUUUUGCACAUUCUUGGCUUCCUUUUGUUAGUGCUUUGUAUAUCGUGAAUAAGAAAAUGCUCAUAUCAUAGGGCAGUUAUAUCAUGAAAUAGGUUGGGAUGAUAUGUUCAUCUUUAAAGGGCACUAAUAUAUUUUAUGGUUGGAAGAGUUCAAUCAGAUAGAGGUAGACCUCAAUGAAUUUUAAUCUUCUUAAUGGAUUUGAAUAUUACUAGUGAUACGCUAAAAGUGAUAUGCUUUAGCGUAGAGCUCAAUGAAGUGAGAAGAUUCAGAAGAUAGCCUUGUUUGGUUGUUGAAAAAAUGUCUAUUAGUUUUUCCCACUUUUUUUCAUCAAAGAGAAGAGAUAUUGUUAGAGGUUUCUCACUAUUAGUUAACUGUUUUCUUUUUUUCUGAAUUAACUUUGGGCACAAUGUUUGAAUCUCCAGUUUAUUGCCUAUGAUUAUUGAACCUGCAAAGUAGUAAAUAACUAAUGGAAAAAUGAAUUAUUUUUUGAAAUGUGAUUAUUGUACUUGCAAACCAGUAAAUAUCACUGAAAAACAUUUUUAUUUCAUUACAAUUUCAAAUUGUCUUCUAAAUUAUUCU
Molecule: long non-coding RNA, 843 nt
Organism: Zingiber officinale
Lineage: Eukaryota; Viridiplantae; Streptophyta; Magnoliopsida; Zingiberales; Zingiberaceae
Exons: 4
Source: RefSeq, a predicted model, not a curated record